UCACCCCUCAAGCCCGGCUUGUUGUUGGACGCGGCGGCGCCUUUACUGCGCCCCGCCCGUCUCAAAGAUAAUGACGGCGUCUGCGAGGACCCCUGUACACUGAGCUUUCGGGCACGUACUAGGUGUGGAAUCCAGACCCGGUCACCGUCCCUUUUAGGGACAACUUUUUAACCA
This 174-nucleotide unclassified non-coding RNA is filed under the name uncultured Cyphellophora. Its description in RNAcentral is "sequence contains ITS2". The record is from RNAcentral. Lineage: Eukaryota; Fungi; Ascomycota; Eurotiomycetes; Chaetothyriales; Herpotrichiellaceae.